GAUGAACGCUGGCGGCGUGCCUAAUACAUGCAAGUCGAGCGAACAGACGAGGAGCUUGCUCCUCUGACGUUAGCGGCGGACGGGUGAGUAACACGUGGAUAACCUACCUAUAAGACUGGGAUAACUUCGGGAAACCGGAGCUAAUACCGGAUAAUAUAUUGAACCGCAUGGUUCAAUAGUGAAAGACGGUUUUGCUGUCACUUAUAGAUGGAUCCGCGCCGCAUUAGCUAGUUGGUAAGGUAACGGCUUACCAAGGCGACGAUGCGUAGCCGACCUGAGAGGGUGAUCGGCCACACUGGAACAGAGACACGGUCCAGACUCCUACGGGAGGCAGCAGUAGGGAAUCUUCCGCAAUGGGCGAGAGCCUGACGGAGCAACGCCGCGUGAGUGAUGAAGGUCUUCGGAUCGUAAAACUCUGUUAUUAGGGAAGAACAAAUGUGUAAGUAACUAUGCACGUCUUGACGGUACCUAAUCAGAAAGCCACGGCUAACUACGUG
RNAcentral lists this ribosomal RNA (497 nucleotides) under uncultured bacterium. Its description in RNAcentral is "partial 16S ribosomal RNA". It matches the Rfam family "Bacterial small subunit ribosomal RNA", at positions 28 to 507 of the family's 1533-position model. The record is from RNAcentral.